RNAcentral lists this long non-coding RNA (8597 nucleotides) under Ananas comosus (pineapple). RNAcentral's name for it is "long non-coding RNA (ACOM_LNC033234)". Lineage: Eukaryota; Viridiplantae; Streptophyta; Magnoliopsida; Poales; Bromeliaceae. The record is from RNAcentral.
CCGGACUUCGAAAAUCAUGAGGUUACGGUGUCCAUUUGGUUGGAGAGCCAUUUGAAUGGUUCCGGUAAGGUUGCGGUGUAAUGUAAUAUACCGGAUUUAAAAAAAAAUAAAUAAAUAAAAAUAGUAUGAGAUACUAUUUUAUUGGAUUUAGAGAAGUAAAAUAUAAGUCAGAAGUGACUUGUGCUGAAAUCGGGAUGAAAACAGAAUAUUUAGAAUUUUCUGUGUGAAACGGGGCAGAUAAAUUAGCAUAAAAUGCACAGUGUCAAAAAAUUAUGAAAACUGGAGGAUAAGUCAGAAUUAUUUUUAUGAGGCUAGAUUUAAAGUUUCAGCCCAUUCUGACACCCGUAGAGUGAGAAUAAAAUCCGACAGUCAUCUGAUAAAGAUUACAAUUCGGUACAGCUUUCGGUGACCAAAUGGGGUCGAAACUGAAAUAUUAAAAUUUCUUUGGACUCUUUAAGUAAAACCGAAUAUGACUGUCAGAUUUGAGCUCAAACGGAUAUUCAGGGAGUUCCGGCGAAAGAUAUCAGAUUUCAAGCUGCCUGAUGUGAAUAGUGUACGCUACUAUUGAGGGUUGACUAUAAGUAGAAGCUACUAGGCUUCUCCCUCUCCAUCAGCCGACCACCAUCUCCACCACCACACGUUCAUGGUGUAGUGAGAGAAACUCUCCCUUUUCUCUCUCUAAAUAUCUCUCUCAUCUCUCUAUAUUUCUCGCCCAAAUUCGCGGCGUUGGUGGAGAUCGAGCUUGCGAACGCGUUGGAGGCGACGGAUUGAGCUUUCGUGCGCCCGUUGAAGCGACGUGUUUUCGUUGCGGCGUUCACAUUGGGGUAAGCUUUUGGGAUUUGGCUUAAUCCUUAGCUUUAAGAGUUCUAGUAGCCUCUAAUGAGCAUUCUUAGUAUGUUGCUCCGUUUAAUUUGGAUUAUUUGGGGGUAAUUGCAUGUUAGGGCUCAAAAAUGGGAUUUCUCAAUAUGUAAGGGUUUGAUCUCAUUUGACCCUCUAUAAACCUAAUUGCAAGGUAAACGAACGCAUUGGCGAAGUCGGUUCGGCGAUUCGUCGAGCCGUUGUAAAGUUAUUAAAGAAACGGUCGUUUAGGCAUCGUUUCCGCCUGGAGGGCCGAGGCGACAUCGUAUACUUAUGAAAACGGAUUUGAAGCAUCGUGGCACAUAACCGAAGACCUUUAAUUUUCGGAUCGUGAAUUGGUGGCCAUUCGGGUGGUCGCACAAGAGUUUGGCCCGAACCGGACCACGUGCGCCGCGGGAGGCCGAUUGCGAGUGACGACGAGCAAUCAGAACGCUAUAAAAGGUGGGUGGUGUCCAUCCCGAAGCAACCGGGCUCCUUUUUAUGUCUAAGUUUUAUAUUGAUCAAAUUGCAUAUUGACAUCUUGCAUUAUAGGGUGAUAAAUGAUGGUUUGGUCCUAUACCUUGCAUGUUCUUUGGUAGAAUAAUGUAUUUGGCUUAGUACUUAUAUCUAGCAUGCUUGAGGUUUAUAUAUGUGAUGUGGAACCCUAUAAUGAGAUGAUAAGUGUGGAUGGGAAUUUAGUAAUGUAUUGGCUAUUGCAUUGGAAACUUGUAAAGAACGAGUGGCAUCUAGUUGAUAGUAAACAAAAGAACAGAUCGAGUGACCAUAUGUGAGAUUCGUAGUGUAUAUGGAAACCUAUUGGACUUAUAUAUGAUUGUAACCUAGAGGAUGAGGGUGAUUCUCGAGGACAGGAUUGGAUGUCAUGCUUAACGGUCUGUUUUUAAAUCUUGUGAUGGAAGCCCACACAAGUAGUGCGCGGUCCGCGAAGUUGGUCACGUGGGAUCUGCCCUAUUUUGGGCGUCCGCAACGGGAUUGGCUAUUUUGGCCCCGCCAGAUCGGUCUCAUAUUGGUUCGUAGUAUGAGUUAAUCUCCCUAACGCGUCGAGAUGGCUAGUGAGCUGUAGGCGAGCUCUGUCGGUAUGCAUGGAUAAUGAACACUAAAUGAGAUUCUGGAUGAAAACGAGUAAAUAGCUUUUACCUUUUGGAACAAUGAAUUAAUGUUUAGUUUGUUUUAUACUAUUUCAUUGUACAUGCAUCUAUAUAUUUAUGAAGUCGGCAUAGUAGCGUAGCUUUACUCCUGCAAAAGUUUGGAUCGAUUGGGUGCAAAGUUGGUAAACCUCUAAAGACGGAUGAUUAAUAAAUGGACUCAGAGGUUUUGAUUUAUUCUCAGCAGGGUGUUCAUGGUUGGAUCAUACAAACAUGAAACUUGGUUGGUAGAGAAUAAGGCACGCCUUGUAUGUACUUUCGCCGGCGAUUGAGUCGCGUCAUCUAAUAGUUGCGACGAGGUUAGCAGGUUAGGUAAUAGCCCCGAUUGUUGUGUUUCAGGAGGCUAUGGCACCAAGGAGACACUACGCGCGCGGUGAUUCGUUUCCGGCAUCGCUCCGCCUCGCCGAGGUGCCUUGAGCAGAGCUGGGUCAAGUGAACGUGCAAAGAAUUUACUGAAGCGCCAGAUGACUAGCGGCUUAUCGGGUGAUUCAACGCCAAAGAAGUCAGAUCGAGCGGCUCCUAAGACUUUUGGAGCGAUCAUAGUGCGACGGCGGCUCGUGUAUGAACAACUGAAGGCGCUAUGGUCGCGCCCGCCCCUCGCUCGUCGCCGUUAUACGCUGAUGCGCCUUGAAGGGCGUGAGCAUUUUGGUGACUCCGGCGGUGGUCGGCAUCCCGCUCUGCAAGAAACUAGUGUCUCUCUGGCGGUUUUCGGUCCUUACGAUGACGUCAAUGCCGGACAGCUGGGGAAGUGAGACAUAGGUAACGCGAGGCGUUUCAAGGAGAGGUGGAGUUGAUAGAAUACGGUCCUGGAUGGUUCGGGGGAACAGUUCGAUUCAAAAGGGCCCCGAUCAAAAGGCGCGUCCAUGUUAGACAGGACCAUGCAGCUGGCGUGACUGCGGAGAAGAGCAUCGCGGCAGCGACUUUUAAGGUCGGGCGCGGCGGUUGCUUCAGUGUGUUCCGGCGGGACAAUAUGGCCCGUUCAAGUGCGAGAAGGAGUGCCACCUGCCCCGUCAGUUGCAAUCCCCCAGAAGACCAGCGGCAUUUCGGCAGGAGUUCCGUUGCUUAACUGCCGUAUCUGCAGGGUGUGUGAUUUUGUGGAGGAUCCCACCAGGCGGCGGCGUCGGCACUUGCGUAGAGUGCGAAAAGGAGGGGGUCAGGGAAAAGGGGGGAAAGGGGGGUGAAACAAAAAAAAGGUGUUUUCGUUGUGCGGCAAGUUCUGGGCCAUGAAAUAUGAUUGCCCCUUGAGCAUGGACGACUGCUACCGGGCCGGCAGGAACAACUUUACACUUCUGGGUCAAGAUGGUGGAUGUGCAUGGCUUGUGGACGUCUGAGAGCUUGGGGUGGUCCGAAAAGCGGCCGGCCGAAGGACUUUCAGGUGAGCGCCAAGCGGCCCGAUCACGCGGCUCAAGUCGAGGGAACCUGCUGCUGGUUGGUGAUGUCACGUAGGUAUUGAUUUAAUUAAGCAUCAUUAAUAUCUAGCAAGAACGUUUAAGCAGAUUGCAAUGGCAUUUGCUUUGGUCUUUUACUAGCUAUUUUACAUUUAGUAUAGUGCAGAGCCAGGACGCAGGUUAGUGUAGUUAUCCCCCCCAGCAUGCAUAGUCGUGGUGGAUGUCGCCUACCCCUAAAGGGAUUGGUGGAUUAGUCAAUGCGGCAAUACUUAGUGAGCUAACCGAGAAGCAAGAAUCCGUUGGGGAUUCUGUGCGUUGUAGCGUGUAGGGACAGGCGCACACCUAGCCGUACGUUUGCUUGUAUAGAGAGUCGGCAAGGGUGAUCGGUUAGAAAGGCAUUUCGAACGAACUCUAUUACCUGGUUCUCUCCGAUGUCUGGGAUGAGUUCAUGGGGAUAGUAUCCUCGUUUACUUCCCGCGAUGGUGAUAGAGGGAAGUUCAGGAUUAGGGGUGACUGGGCCGGGCCUAAAAAGGCCCGGCUGGGCCAUGUUUGGGCCGGGCUUUGGGUAUUAAAAAUACAACUUUGGGUUCGGGCCGGGUUUAAAAAUUUAGGCCCGAAAAAAUUUUGGGCCUAUUUGGGCAUGUCCAAGCCCGACCCGAGCCCGACCCAAAAGCCCGAUAUAUUAAUUAUCAAAAUAAAAUAUUUAAUUAUAUAUAUUAUUUAUCUAUAGUAUAUCAUAUAUAGUAUAUAUUGUUAUUAAUGAGCUUAUAUAUAUGAGGAUAUAUUAUAUAUUAACAAAAUAUUUAGUUCUAUAUUAUGAUAUAUUUGAUAUUAGAUAUUAAUUUCUUUGAUGUGAUAAAACUAAAAAUACGUAUUUUAUUUUAAUUUUAUACAAAUAAAAGUAUUUAUGUAUUAUAUGAUAAAUGCAUAAAAUGGGCCUCCACAAAGCCCGAUGGGUAUUGGGCAUUGGGCUUGGGCUUGGGCCGGGCCUUAAUUUUAAAAAAAAUUGGCUAAAAGCCCGACCCGAAGCCCAACAUUUUUUUUGGGCCGGGCUUGGGCAUAGUAAUACCCCAACUAAGCCCGGCCCAGUUCCACCAGGAUAAGUUUCCGAAGCUGUGGUAGGUAAACUGCACCGUGAGACGAUACGAGCAGGAGUUCUCCCGUGUCAUGAAAUGCAUCCUACACGUAGUGCGGAUGACGAGGACAUGGCCGAAUUGCUUGUGCGGAGAUUUCGGCCGGGCGUUGUUAAAGUCGUUUAUGUAGGGGAAGUGGAUUCUCAAAAUCCGAGGAUUUGACUUCGUCGGAAAUUGACUAAUUGUCGAGUGUGUAGGCUUCGGAGAAGCCGAAGAUGUCUAAAUCACCAAAAGUACAUUGGAGUUGGAGUCCACGAGAGCAAUAGUGCAAGGUCUGCACUUGGUGGAGUUGCUCUCGGGGACCGGUCCCUGGCAGGGAGGAACCGGUCCCCGUAGCCAAUGGUUGCAGGGUUGCUUGAUGCAACCGGUCCCUGGAUCUGAGGGACCAGUCCCCCCCGUAUGCGAAAUCGUCGAGAAGCGAAAAAUUGGCUAAGUCCCGGAAAUGCCACUCUCGGGAAUCGGUCUCUCAGCAGGAACCGGUCUCCCGAGGACCGGUCUCUCGGGCAAGGACCGGUCCCCGUAGCUCAAAAUUGCCCAGUUUGGGGCAAUGCACCUUCUUGAUUCCAAUCGCAAUCUCGAACCUCGGAGGUGCCUUUAUUGACUUCCUUGAGAUGCGGGAUUGUGGGAGUUCUCACCGAGCACGUAAUGUGCGUUGCGUGGUGAGAUAGGCAUUCGUGCGGUCGAUUGCAGGGUCGCGUUGUAGGAGGUAGCCUCUUCCUCUCCGAGACAGUUUGUGGAUGUGAAGUCUACAGAGUGGUCUAGAGAACGAGUGGUGAGGAAGUGACGACGGAAGGCUCGCGGCGGGCAACGAGCGUCCGUGAGUACGCGACCUUGGUCGAAGGACCUUGCAUGCAUUCGUCGUGUGGUCGCUUGCUAUCGUCGAUGCAUCGAUGUAGUAAGGACCAAAGUGACGGACAAGUGUAAAUACCCGAGCAUGCUUGCGCGUGAGGGUGUAACGCUUGCUGGAGUAGAUGGAGGGCUAGACGGUACUAGCAAAUUGCUAGUAGUGGAAUCACUGUUGAGAGAGUAGCCGUAUAGUUGCCGAAUACGAGAACGUUAGCCGAGUAGUACCUCAAGUUGAGGUCAGCGAGUCAUGCUCGUGUAGUGGGUAUGCAUAGGCAAGGUUGCCUAAUGCUGACCUAGUUGGAACGCAGUAGAGGCGUGUAGAGCGCUCGAGUGUAAUUACGCGUGAAGUGCGGUUUCGAUUCAGCCGGUCGAGUGAAUUGGCAGUAGCACUUCGGCAGGGCUAAGUGUGAAGCGGGCCACGGAUCACUCGUGAGGGCUGGUGGCUCAUACUAGGUGCUUAGGCACUUAGGAGUCGGUAAUGGUACGUGUAACUCAAUAGAGUAUGUCGUAUAAGACGACGACGGCGAGUAGUGCUUGGGGACGAUCCGUGCCUGGACCAUUUGUGGACUGUGGAGCCUGGGCCCAUUGGGCAGGCACAGUCAGCUGUGAGAGACAGCGGCCCAAUGUAGGGCAGAAUUUUGGUCAGGGCGGUAGUCCAAGCUGAGACUCGGGAGCGUGGAAUGACACACGUGGAUCAUGAGAUCAAGGUUACACCUAGUGGGUAGUGACCCAACCCAAGGAUUCGACGUGGUUUGAGGUCUUAGUUGCUCCUGGUUGAAGUGUGUGCGAAUUCUCCAAUAAGAAUUUCGCCCAGUAGUGAUAAUUGGGUCUACACUGGUGAGCGAGAGACACUACGCGUAGUUGAGACUGGUUUAAGCGACAGGUCUACGUAGGAUUGGUGACCUGUGGUUCACCUAUGGAUUUGAUGAAAGUGGUUGAGCGAGUAGCCUCAGUGAUGGGCGUGGCCUAGAAUGACGAACGGAUGUUCAUGUGGAUUCGUUGCACGAACGAGUUGGUGAUGGUCGUGGCAUAUGGUAUUCGAGGAUAUACUGCUCGCGUGAGACAUUGAGCUAUUGGAAGCCACGAGAGGUAGAGGAUUGAAGUUGAUGCCCCUAAGUGAAUUGGAGCUUGAGGAUAAUGCUCUUUUAAGGGCUGAGUUGGAGAUGUGCCGAAGCGUGCCAUCCCGCGGUAGAGCAAGGGUCUGGUUGAAGAUUGGAGCACUCGCAGUGGGUCGAUGCACCAAUGAUAUUGCUUCUAGGCGAUAUUGGUGAUCGAAUUGGAGUGUGACCCCUAGAGGGAUGGUGAAAGUGAUGAAGAGUCGUGAAUGAGAAAUACGAACUCUUGGAUAGCCAAAGUGGCGGAGCGCCGCUUUGUUGACAUUCGGGUGAUUCGAGAGGGCUUACCCGUGUGUGCUGUGUCGUGGUGGUGGACCAUAUGACUAUUGGUGCGUUCUUGAUAGCUCCACACCAUGAGGAUAGCGGGUAGUCCCGGUCUCGAGGGAGGUGGUUUGGCCUUAGUGGGCCAGUUAGCGAAUGGCGUUGGAGCGCGUAGAGCCGUUGAGCCUCGACUUGCGCUGCUACCAAGAAUAACGGAGAACGUAAUGCACCUUGCGAGAUGCGCCUUGCAAAGUUGUACGAGUUGGGUAUUGUACCCUCCGUGUUGGGCCUCUUGGAUAGUUGCAAAGAGGGUAAAGCCAUUCCGAACUAGAAAAGUGCAUUAGCGCCCUAAAUUGCUCAAGGAGCCGAAUUGAGGCGUGGUUUGAGUUUCGCGGACGAAACUCUUUUUAAGGAGGGGAGGAUGUAAGGUACCGGACUUCGAAAAUCAUGAGGUUACGGUGUACGUUCGAUUGGAAAGCCAUUUAAAUGGUUCCGGUGAGGCUGCGGUGGAAUGUAACAUACCGGAUUUUUAAUAUAAAAGUGAAAAUAAGUAAAAAUAGUAUGAGAUACUAUUUUAUUGGAUUUAGAGAAGUAAAACAUAAGUCAGAAGUGACUUGUGCUGAAAUCGGGAUGAAAACAGAAGAUCUAGAAUUUUCUGUUGGAAACGGGACAGAAAAAUUAGCAGAAAAUGCACAGUCUCAGAAAAUUAUGAAAAUUGGCGGGGAUGCCAGAAAUAUUUUAAUGAGGCUAGAUUUAAAGUUUCAUAUUUUUCUGACACCCGUAAAGUGAGAAAUAAAAUCCGAAAUCCAUCUGAUAAAGAUUGCAGUUCGGCACAGUUUUCGGUGACCAAACGGGGUCGAAACUGAAAUAUUAAAAUUUCUUUGGACUUAUUAAGUAAAACCGAGCGUGCCUGUCAAAUUUGAGCUCAAACGGAUAUUCAGGGAGCUCCGGCGAAAGAUAUCAGAUUUGGAGCUGCCUGAUGUGAAUAGUGUAUGCUACUAUUGAGGUGUUGACUAUAAGUAGAAGCUACUAGGCUUCUUCCUCCUCAGCUGCAGCCAACACCAAGCAUCACACGUUCAUGGUGUAGUGAGAGAAACCCUCUCUUUCUCUCUCUAAAUAUCUCUCUCAUCUCUCUAUAUUUCUCGCCCAAAUUCGCGGCGUUGGUGGAGAUCGAGCUUGCGAACGCGUUGGAGGCGACGGAUCGAGCUUCCGUGCGCCCGUUGGAGCGGCGUGUUUUCGUUGUGGCGUUCACAUUGGGGUAAGCUUUUGGGAUUUGGCUUAAUCCUUAGCUUUAAGUGUUCUAAUAGCCUCUAAUGUGAAGUUAGUUUGUUAAAUCCUUAAUAUUUGGAUUGUUUGGAGCAUAUGUUGAGGCUAGGGUGUGAAAAUGGGGGUUUACAAAUUAGGUGGGGUUUGAUCUAAUUUGACCCUUCGUAAACCCAAUUGAUAGGUCACUGAACGCGUUGGAAGCGACGGUUCGGCGAUUCGUUGAGCCGGUGCAAAGUUAUUAAAGAAACGGACGUUUAGGCUUCGGGUCCGCCUGGAGGGCCGAGGCGACGUCGUAAAAUCGUGGAAACGGAUUUGAAGCAUCGUAAUAGGAAACCGAAGACCUUUAAUUUUCGGAUCGCGGAUCGGAGGUCGUUUGGUUGUCGCGCGCGGAUUGGGUCAAGCCGAGCGGCGUGUGCCGCGUGAGGCCGAUUGCAAGUGACGACGAGCAAUCGGAACGCGAUAAAAGGUGGGUGGUGUCCAUCCCGAAGCAAUCGGGCUCCCUUUUAUGUCUAAGUUUUAUAUUGAUCAAAUUGCAUAUUGACAUCUUGCAUUAUAGGGUGAUAAAUGAUGGUUUGGUCCUAUACCUUG